UAGCAGGUCCCUAUCUAGCCAGUGGCU
This 27-nucleotide non-coding RNA is filed under the name Mus musculus (house mouse). Lineage: Eukaryota; Metazoa; Chordata; Mammalia; Rodentia; Muridae. The record is from RNAcentral.